GAUCCUGGCUCAGGAUGAACGCUGACAGAAUGCUUAACACAUGCAAGUCGACUCGAGUCUUCGGACUUGGGUGGCGCACGGGUGAGUAACGCGUAAAGAACUUGCCUCUUAGACCGGGACAACAUCUGGAAACGGAUGCUAAUACCGGAUAUUAUGGUUUUUUCGCAUGGAGGAAUCAUGAAAGCUAGAUGCGCUAAGAGAGAGCUUUGCGUCCCAUUAGCUGGUUGGUGAGG
RNAcentral lists this ribosomal RNA (233 nucleotides) under uncultured bacterium. RNAcentral describes it as "partial 16S ribosomal RNA". It matches the Rfam family "Bacterial small subunit ribosomal RNA", at positions 15 to 257 of the family's 1533-position model. The record is from RNAcentral.